ACGUACACUCCUACGGGAGGCAGCAGUGGGGAAUAUUGGACAAUGGGCGCAAGCCUGAUCCAGCCAUGCCGCGUGAGUGAUGAAGGCCCUAGGGUUGUAAAGCUCUUUCACCGGAGAAGAUAAUGACGGUAUCCGGAGAAGAAGCCCCGGCUAACUUCGUGCCAGCAGCCGCGGUAAUACGAAGGGGGCUAGCGUUGUUCGGAAUUACUGGGCGUAAAGCGCACGUAGGCGGAUCGAUCAGUCAGGGGCGAAAUCCCAGGGCUCAACCCUGGAACUGCCUUUGAUACUGUCGAUCUGGAGUAUGGAAGAGGUGAGUGGAAUUCCGAGUGUAGAGGUGAAAUUCGUAGAUAUUCGGAGGAACACCAGUGGCGAAGGCGGCUCACUGGUCCAUUACUGACGCUGAGGUGCGAAAGCGUGGGGAGCAAACAGGAUUAGAAACCCGGGUAGUCCCAUGA
RNAcentral lists this ribosomal RNA (455 nucleotides) under uncultured organism. Its description in RNAcentral is "partial 16S ribosomal RNA". It matches the Rfam family "Bacterial small subunit ribosomal RNA", at positions 329 to 800 of the family's 1533-position model. The record is from RNAcentral.